AUGUAGCUGACGAGUCCCAAAUAGGACGAAAUACGCAUCCUGGAU
RNAcentral lists this non-coding RNA (45 nucleotides) under Trichobilharzia regenti. Lineage: Eukaryota; Metazoa; Platyhelminthes; Trematoda; Strigeidida; Schistosomatidae. The record is from RNAcentral.